UUUUAACAUGUUAUUUUUCUUUGAUAUGAUUUAAUAUGAAUUUUGGAUAGCUUGUUAGUGAAUUUUAGGAUGAUUCGAAGGUUUAAUGAUUGUUGAUAGAUUUAUAGUUUUGAUUUGGAAUUUUAGUGGAAUUUUGGGUAAUCUUGUUGUUUAAUUAUAGCAAAUAGGUUUUCAUUCAUUUUUUGUGAGUUUUUGCAUUUGAUUUUGGUAGGUUUCAUCUUAAGCCAUUAAUUUUAAUUUGUUUUAAUUUAGACCCUAAUAUUUGUAAUAAUAGGGAUUUGACCCCUAAAACUUUUUAAUUGUUUCAAUUAGGUCCUUGCUUGUUUUAAUUCCUUGAACAUAGGUUGUUUGCUUUAAUUUAAAUACUUUAAUUGAUUUAAUUUCAUGUUUUCUUCCAUCUCUUAGGAUUUUUUUUAAUUAAAAUGAUACCUUGACCAUUUUUUUGUUUUGGAGGAUAAAUAAGAGAGUAAUUCCAUUUCCUUAGUUCAUCAAUUCAAGGGAGGUAUAUUCUAUCCUUUAUUUUUAUUUUAUUUGAUCC
RNAcentral lists this long non-coding RNA (538 nucleotides) under Coffea arabica (coffee). RNAcentral describes it as "long non-coding RNA (CARA_LNC002589)". The record is from RNAcentral. Lineage: Eukaryota; Viridiplantae; Streptophyta; Magnoliopsida; Gentianales; Rubiaceae.